This 468-nucleotide ribosomal RNA is filed under the name uncultured bacterium. RNAcentral's name for it is "partial 16S ribosomal RNA". It matches the Rfam family "Bacterial small subunit ribosomal RNA", at positions 28 to 507 of the family's 1533-position model. The record is from RNAcentral.
GACGAACGCUGGCGGCGUGCUUAACACAUGCAAGUCGAACGGAAAGGCCCUGCUUUUGUGGGGUGCUCGAGUGGCGAACGGGUGAGUAACACGUGAGUAACCUGCCCUUGACUUUGGGAUAACUUCAGGAAACUGGGGCUAAUACCGGAUAGGAGCUCCUGCUGCAUGGUGGGGGUUGGAAAGUUUCGGCGGUUGGGGAUGGUCUCGCGGCUUAUCAGCUUGUUGGUGGGGUAGUGGCUUACCAAGGCUUUGACGGGUAGCCGGCCUGAGAGGGUGACCGGCCACAUUGGGCCUGAGAUACGGCCCAGACUCCUACGGGAGGCAGCAGUGGGGAAUAUUGCACAAUGGGCGGAAGCCUGAUGCAGCAACGCCGCGUGCGGGAUGACGGCCUUCGGGUUGUAAACCGCUUUCGCCUGUGACGAAGCGUGAGUGACGGUAAUGGGUAAAGAAGCACCGGCUAACUACGUG